GAGGGUAUAGCUCAGUGGUAGAGCAUUUGCCUAACACGCAUGAGGUCCUAGGUUCAAUCCCCAGUACCUCCU
Molecule: transfer RNA, 72 nt
Filed under: Camelus bactrianus (Bactrian camel)
Lineage: Eukaryota; Metazoa; Chordata; Mammalia; Artiodactyla; Camelidae
Also listed under: 2 other names
Rfam family: tRNA
About the family: Transfer RNA (tRNA) molecules are approximately 80 nucleotides in length.
Source: Rfam by way of RNAcentral